GAUGAACGCUGGCGGCGUGCCUAAUACAUGCAAGUCGAGCGAACGGACGAGAAGCUUGCUUCUCUGAUGUUAGCGGCGGACGGGUGAGUAACACGUGGAUAACCUACCUAUAAGACUGGGAUAACUUCGGGAAACCGGAGCUAAUACCGGAUAAUAUUUUGAACCGCAUGGUUCAAAAGUGAAAGACGGUCUUGCUGUCACUUAUAGAUGGAUCCGCGCUGCAUUAGCUAGUUGGUAAGGUAACGGCUUACCAAGGCAACGAUGCAUAGCCGACCUGAGAGGGUGAACGGCCACCCUGGAACUGAGACACGGUCCAGACUCCUACGGGAGGCAGCAGUAGGGAAUCUUCCGCAAUGGGCGAAAGCCUGACGGAGCAACGCCGCGUGAGUGAUGAAGGUCUUCGGAUCGUAAAACUCUGUUAUUAGGGAAGAACAUAUGUGUAAGUAACUGUGCACAUCUUGACGGUACCUAAUCAGAAAGCCACGGCUAACUACGUG
Molecule: ribosomal RNA, 497 nt
Filed under: uncultured bacterium
Lineage: Bacteria
Description: partial 16S ribosomal RNA
Rfam family: Bacterial small subunit ribosomal RNA
Source: RNAcentral